AUGCCAUCCGGACAGAGGAAGAUCCAGAGACUUAGGGGUCACGUGAGCCAUAGCCACGGCCGCAUCAGCAAGCACUUGGAAGCACCCAGGAGGCCGUGGUGAUGCUGGUGGUAGGCGUCACCAGAGGAUUAGUGUCAACAAGUCUCACCUGGGUUGCUUUGGGAACGCUGGUGUGAGGCAUUACCACUAGGAACCAGAGCUUCUGCCCAGCUGUCACCCUUGAAGCCACAUGGAGGGAGGUUCAUGAAAUGCUAACAACUGCUUUAAAGAGAAAAAAAGACAAGAACCCUAACCUGUACCCCUGUUCCUCCUUCCCACAGGCACAACAGGGUUCUAUCAAGGAGGAAAUGGACUGGGCAACGCAGCCGGUUU
RNAcentral lists this long non-coding RNA (372 nucleotides) under Homo sapiens (human). RNAcentral's name for it is "long non-coding RNA NONHSAT080044". Lineage: Eukaryota; Metazoa; Chordata; Mammalia; Primates; Hominidae. The record is from RNAcentral.